UCUUCCUCACUUGGUAAUGACGAUAGUUGUUCCUAUUGGAGGGCAGUUGGCUGAUUAUUUACGCUCUCACAACAUCAUGAGCACCACCAAUGUACGCAAGCUGAUGAACUGUGGAGGUGUGUGAUUGUGUGUGUUAAUUCUGUAUGUGUGUACUUCAACAUACACUGGCGAUCCAAAAAGAAGUCACCACCUGGAUUUAACUAAGUGUGACCAGUUGAAUGUCUUUAGAAUGAGGACAAAUAGACAUGCAUAAAUAAUGGGUGCAUUUUAAAUCCGAAGACACGCCCACUGCUGGCUUUGACACUGAGCACACCUGUGCCACGUGAUUAUGUCGGCGUGUUUGUGGCUUUAUAAAAAGCACAGUUGAGUGGGACACUUUGAUUCCUUUCUUACCUGUAGGUUGGGUGGCUAGAAAAGGUAUUUUUAUUCUUCUACUCUCCUGUUGCUCUCCCCUGGUGCGGCCAAAGAGCGCUAGCUGCUGUUUCGUAUAUGUUUUGUAUAUGCUUGUACACACUGUUUCAUAAACCCUGAAUUAGCUUGUUGGGUUACAGGUUGGACCAAGCGGACGUCGCAGCUGUAAACCGCUGGAUUACUGAGUGUUUUAAAAGAUUAUCCUGCGCAGCGGUUCUGUGCUAUGUUUGAGUAAGGACUUGGCUAUGUAUCUCCUGUGCAGGUGUAUUACAUUAACAGACUUGGUAUUUUUGCUCCGUGAGCCGCUUGGACGCUUUUUAAAUAUUAAUCGGGAGUUAAUUGUUUUUCUCUUUGUAACGUGUAUAAGUGUAAGUACUAUUUCCACAUGUAACUAUCUGAGCUGUGAUUUUUGAGACUUAAACAGAAGGGGAGUUUGUUUGUGUGUUUCGGGUUUAUUUUUGGUUUAUUCUUGUUUUUUAAGAAUUAUGCACUGAUUUGCGGUGUGCUCUGUCCCUUCUGUUACAGAGAGGAUGUAAUCUAGUCUCUCUGGUUGUGGGUAAAUAACUGGUAAGCUGUAAAUGGUAUUUUAAAAUAUUUAAGCAUUCUUUUGUUUAAUAAAUUUGUACUAUUUGUGUAAA
Silurus meridionalis is the source of this 1049-nucleotide long non-coding RNA. RefSeq lists it as uncharacterized. Lineage: Eukaryota; Metazoa; Chordata; Actinopteri; Siluriformes; Siluridae. The record is from RefSeq and is a predicted model, not a curated record. The transcript is spliced from 2 exons.